ACAACGACUCUCGGCAACGGAUAUCUCGGCUCUCGCAUCGAUGAAGAACGUAGCGAAAUGCGAUACUUGGUGUGAAUUGCAGAAUCCCGUGAACCAUCGAGUCUUUGAACGCAAGUUGCGCCCGAGGCCGUCAGGCCAAGGGCACGCCUGCCUGGGCGUCACG
RNAcentral lists this ribosomal RNA (163 nucleotides) under Caryopteris forrestii. RNAcentral describes it as "5.8S ribosomal RNA". It matches the Rfam family "5.8S ribosomal RNA". From Rfam's summary of the family: 5.8S ribosomal RNA (5.8S rRNA) is a component of the large subunit of the eukaryotic ribosome. It is transcribed by RNA polymerase I as part of the 45S precursor that also contains 18S and 28S rRNA. The record is from RNAcentral. Lineage: Eukaryota; Viridiplantae; Streptophyta; Magnoliopsida; Lamiales; Lamiaceae.